Molecule: ribosomal RNA, 253 nt
Filed under: uncultured bacterium
Lineage: Bacteria
Description: partial 16S ribosomal RNA
Rfam family: Bacterial small subunit ribosomal RNA
Source: RNAcentral
UACAGAGGUCUCAAGCGUUGUUCGGAUUCAUUGGGCGUAAAGGGUGCGUAGGCGGCUCGGUAAGUCGGGUGUGAAAUCUCGGAGCUUAACUCCGAAACUGCAUUCGAUACUGCCGUGCUUGAGGACUGGAGAGGAGACUGGAAUUUACGGUGUAGCGGUGAAAUGCGUAGAUAUCGUAAGGAAGACCAGUGGCGAAGGCGGGUCUCUGGACAGUUCCUGACGCUGAGGUGCGAAAGCGUGGGGAGCAAACAGG